CAGUAGCCACGGUAAUACGGAGGGGGCUAGCGUUGUUCGGAAUUACUGGGCGUAAAGCGCACGUAGGCGGCUUGGUAAGUUAGAGGUGAAAGCCCGGAGCUCAACUCCGGAAUUGCCUUUAAGACUGCCGAGCUAGCAGGUGAGAGAGGUAAGUGGAAUUCCGAGUGUAGAGGUGAAAUUCGUAGAUAUUCGGAAGAACACCAGUGGCGAAGGCGGCUUACUGGCUCAUACUGGACGCUGAGGUGCGAAAGCGUGGGGAGCAAACAGGAUUAGAUACCCGGGUAGUCCCUGUCUCUUAUAC
Molecule: ribosomal RNA, 301 nt
Filed under: uncultured bacterium
Lineage: Bacteria
Description: partial 16S ribosomal RNA
Rfam family: Bacterial small subunit ribosomal RNA
Source: RNAcentral